GACGUAGGAGGCGAGCGUUAUCCGGAUUCACUGGGCGUAAAGCGCAUGUAGGCGGUUGCACAAGUCCGUUGUUAAAGCCCCUGGCUCAACUGAGGAACUGCACGGGAGACUGUCGGGCUUGAGUUCGGGAGAGGGAAGCGGAAUUCCGGGUGUAGCGGUGAAAUGCGUAGAUAUCCGGAGGAACACCGGUGGCGAAGGCGGCUUCCUGGACCGACACUGACGCUGAGGCGCGAAAGCUAGGGGAGCAAACGGG
This 253-nucleotide ribosomal RNA is filed under the name uncultured bacterium. Its description in RNAcentral is "partial 16S ribosomal RNA". It matches the Rfam family "Bacterial small subunit ribosomal RNA", at positions 524 to 776 of the family's 1533-position model. The record is from RNAcentral.